AGAUAGGACAACCAAAAUUUUAAAGUGCACAUGACUCGUAAGAACAACAAAAGAAAUAUAUGAGACUUAAUUGUUUCUUCAAAUGUACACCAUAUUACUUUAGAAUUGGUACUACCUAUGGAAAGAACAAUAAGAGCACUCAACUUAGACAAUGUUGAAGAGAGUUCUACCUCUUCCCGACCUAGAUGGUCUGGGCUUCGCAAUUGUCAUUUUCUUCGCGUUAGAGUUUGUGGUCCUCACGUUCCUCCUCAUUAUGAUAACACAAGUAUAUGCAAGAAUGAAUUUGAAGGGAAUUAUCAUGUUGCAUUAAAGGAGGAUCACUUUGAAUACUUUGAAGAUGAUGAUGCCAAUAUGGAUCUCCCCAAUGACUACUAAUGGUACACUAAUGGUUGACACUUAGUAAUGAAAAGUUUGGGAGCGUUUUAUGAUAGCUAGUAGACUAGAUAAAUGCAUGUCUUAGAUUUUUCCUUUUAGUAGUGCUAACUCAAAAGAUGUGACAUGUGAAUAUGACUAUGAUGUAAACAAGAUGUUUAACUUGGAGAUACAAUUUUGAAUUAGGAGAAGAUGGUAGUUGGACAAUAUUAUGAACUUGAAAAAAGAUGAAUACGGUUUUAGAAUUCUUGGUUACUUAAUUUUACAUAUUCUGCAAAGUGAAAGAUGAUGAUUAGUAACAACCUACGAUACUGACAAGAAUGCUAGGCAUUAUCACUAGAAAAUCAAGCAUACAAAUGUAACAUUAAUUCUGCAAAGUGAAAGAUGAUGAUUAGUAACAACCUACGAUACUGACAAGAAUGCUAGGCAUUAUCACUAGAAAAUCAAGCAUACAAAUGUAACAUUGUUUGAAAAAAUUGGAUAUAAAGGAUUAAGUUGAUGUAUUUUUGAACAUUUGGAGAGAGAUAAGGUCGUCCUUUUCAAAGUUAUUAGAUCAAAAUCAACAGUAAGAUUAACAUAAAAUGGUGUAUCCUAUAAUUUUGUAAUAGCGUUCUAGUUUUCCAUAUUCUUUAAAGGAAAACCCAGAAUUGAAAAAAUAUUAAUACACAAUUAUAAAAUAAUAAAGUUUAAAUUCAUGAACAUAUCUUAAUUUGAAUGAGACUAUUUGUAUUAUAUUUUUUAUGCUUUAAUUCGCUUUAUAUUAAUAUCACCUUAAGUCAAAAGUAAGGUUUGUGAAAUUAGAAAAACUAAAAGAAAAUUAAUUUAUUUUUUGAAAAGCAAAUAAACACAAACAAAACUAACUACGAAUCAUAAACAAAAAUCCCAAAAACUACAUUAAUCUAUCUAAAGAAUAUCCAAUAGAUUAGACCGAACAAAUCACUUCUAAGAUCUAAACUUAAUUAAAUAAAACAAAGUGUGAACAUAAUAACUAAAUUACAACUCAUAAAAUAUACUAGGACACUAUUCUUUUUAUAUUUUCUAAGCGUUUAAUA
This 1424-nucleotide long non-coding RNA is filed under the name Lathyrus oleraceus (garden pea). RNAcentral's name for it is "Pisum sativum (pea) long non-coding RNA (PSAT_LNC008962)". The record is from RNAcentral. Lineage: Eukaryota; Viridiplantae; Streptophyta; Magnoliopsida; Fabales; Fabaceae.